CAGCCGUAAACUAUGCGCGUUAGGUGUACUGGUGACCACGAGUCACCGGGGUGCCGAAGGGAAACCGUGAAACGUGCCGCCUGGGAAGUACGGUCGCAAGGCUGAAACUUAAAGGAAUUGGCGGGGGGAGGCACCACAACGGGUGGGAGCCUGCGGUUUAAUUUGGAUUCAACGCCGGACAUCUCACCGGAUAAGACAGCUGAAUGAUUGUCAAUCUGAAGGUUUUACAUGACUAGCUGAGAGGUGGUGCAUGGCGUCAGUGACU
This 265-nucleotide ribosomal RNA is filed under the name uncultured archaeon. RNAcentral describes it as "partial 16S ribosomal RNA". It matches the Rfam family "Archaeal small subunit ribosomal RNA", at positions 748 to 1008 of the family's 1478-position model. The record is from RNAcentral.